This 309-nucleotide unclassified non-coding RNA is filed under the name Gongronella butleri. RNAcentral's name for it is "partial internal transcribed spacer region". The stretch from base 1 to 46 matches the Rfam family "Eukaryotic small subunit ribosomal RNA", at positions 1786 to 1831 of the family's 1831-position model. Lineage: Eukaryota; Fungi; Mucoromycota; Mucoromycetes; Mucorales; Cunninghamellaceae. The record is from RNAcentral.
AAGUCGUAACAAGGUUUCCGUAGGUGAACCUGCGGAAGGAUCAUUAUCAAUGCAAAGUUUCUCCAAUGAAUUUUGGGGUUUCUUUGAUAAAAUUUCUCUUCUUUUCCUUUCUUUGAGGGAAUUGAAGGAAUCCACUGUGAUCUGUUUCGAGCUUUUUCAUUUGAAAAAGCUACAACCCGUUUUUUUUCUUUGGGAAACAAACGGGUGUGGGGCCUUUUAGGUCUCGCAAUUCAAUAUACUUUAUGAAAUUCUUGAUUGAUUCUUAAUUGAAACAAAAAACAACUUUCAACAAUGGAUCUCUCGGCUUAC